GCUUAGACGACCAGAAAACCUAUCAUCUCAACAAGCAUCUGAAACCCAAUUAGAAGAAAGUAGUGAUUUAGCUGAAUCAAGAUGCUUUAAAUCAGUCUGUAACCAAUUACUUGAGACUGACCCAAGUUUGGAAUUCUCUUUAGGAAGACCCGAUUGGCGAAGAAAACAACAUGAUUAAAUUUAUCAGCAAAGCUGUCGGCUGUUGCCCUUAUCAAUAUGCAUGCGACUAGCUUAAUUUACUUCAAUUUUUUUUCUUUGUUUAGUAAGAAAUGAAAAUAUAGAUGAAAUGAAGAUAUAAAGAAAGGUGAUGAUGUUGUAGCAGUUCCAUCUGCCAAUGAAAGAAAGAAGGGUUGUAGUGUUCUAUCACUUUCAAUGACUGUAUAUAUAAUUUUUGUAGGAGUGAUGUGGG
RNAcentral lists this unclassified non-coding RNA (409 nucleotides) under Hevea brasiliensis (rubber tree). The record is from RNAcentral. Lineage: Eukaryota; Viridiplantae; Streptophyta; Magnoliopsida; Malpighiales; Euphorbiaceae.